AACGCGAAGAACCUUACCAGGACUUGACAUCCCGCAGAUCGGGGUAGAGAUACUUCUUCCCUUCGGGGCUGCGGAGACAGGUGGUGCAUGGUUGUCGUCAGCUCGUGUCGUGAGAUGUUGGGUUAAGUCCCGCAACGAGCGCAACCCUUACUUCGUGUUGCCAGCAUUCAGUUGGGCACUCACGAGGGACUGCCGUCAACAAGACGGAGGAAGGUGGGGAUGACGUCAAAUCAUCAUGCCCCUUAUGUCCUGGGCUACACACGUGCUACAAUGGGCGGAACAACGGGAUGCGAAGCCGCGAGGUGGAGCCAAACCCUAAAAACCGUUCGUAGUUCGGAUUGUAGGCUGCAACUCGCCUACAUGAAGCCGGAAUUGCUAGUAAUCGCGGAUCAGCAUGCCGCGGUGAAUCCGUUCCCGGGCCUUGUACACACCGCACGA
RNAcentral lists this ribosomal RNA (438 nucleotides) under uncultured bacterium. RNAcentral's name for it is "bacterial SSU rRNA". It matches the Rfam family "Bacterial small subunit ribosomal RNA", at positions 958 to 1397 of the family's 1533-position model. The record is from RNAcentral.